UACGUAGGGAGCGAGCGUUGUCCGGAUUCAUUGGGCGUAAAGCGCUUUAAGGCGGUUCGCUAAGUCACGUGUGAAAACUCCAGGCUCAACCUGGAGACGCCACGUGAUACUGGCGUGACUAGAGUUCGGUAGGGGAUCACGGAAUUCCUGGUGUAGCGGUGAAAUGCGCAGAUAUCAGGAGGAACACCUGUGGCGAAGGCGGUGAUCUGGGCCGACACUGACGCUGUAGAGCGAAAGCGUGGGGAGCGAACAGG
RNAcentral lists this ribosomal RNA (254 nucleotides) under uncultured bacterium. RNAcentral's name for it is "partial 16S ribosomal RNA". It matches the Rfam family "Bacterial small subunit ribosomal RNA", at positions 524 to 776 of the family's 1533-position model. The record is from RNAcentral.